Molecule: long non-coding RNA, 867 nt
Organism: Acinonyx jubatus (cheetah)
Lineage: Eukaryota; Metazoa; Chordata; Mammalia; Carnivora; Felidae
Exons: 3
Source: RefSeq, a predicted model, not a curated record
CCCUGUUACCGGACAGAGAACCGGUUCCGAACUCAGUGAGGUUCAGCUGCUCACCGCUUGACAAUGAGCACUCGAGAGAGAAGUGAUGUGUGGAAGGAAAGGUUGCUUUAUUCAGGAAGCUGGCGACCUGGGAAGAGGACGGACUAAAGGCCCAAAGACCAUCUUCCCCGUCCAGGGUGAUUCUAAAGGAGGGGCCCAGACCGGAAGGCGGGCAGCUAAAUAGAUCAAGACCACGAAACGUCGGGGAGAUCGGUUGUUCCCUGACUGUGAAUUUCCACUUCUCCAGAGGCAUUUAUCCUGCAGCGGGUGGAACUCGCUAUCGCACAAACACCUUGCUCAUUGAGCAGAUCCUAAUCGAGGCUAUGUGGCCGUCCAAAAGUACUUUGGCCGCUGGGCUGCCGCUGCUGUGGCCGUGGAGCUGGCCGGUUCUUCCAAUGUCAGGGAGAGAUUUCUGACCACGUGUUCAUCAGCACUGUUCCAGCCACGGAAGAAAGACACUCCCGCUGGAGGCCAACACUGAAUCAGGACCUGUACCCCGGCCCUACACACAACUUCUCAUACAGGUAACGUGUACCCUCGUGAAGGUCAGGGAGGUAGUGACCUCCUUGGAAUCUUCCAGCACAACAGGUAACACUUAAGGAGGGACCAGGCAGGUGUCAGGAACGUUCUCCCAAGACCACCGACGCACCCAGAGCCCUGGCUCCAGGGCACCAGUGACUUAUGGAGUAUGCCUAGAUGCUCAUCUUUGUUCCUGGGUUACUGAGAAGACAUGUGCCCCAGGCCCCAAGCGAAGGUGAGACUCCCUCUCCUCUCCUUUCUGAGUCUCCCAGACUCUUUUGUGUCUUUAAUAAACUGUGCUCUCACUUC